Molecule: ribosomal RNA, 646 nt
Filed under: Cortinarius sordidemaculatus
Lineage: Eukaryota; Fungi; Basidiomycota; Agaricomycetes; Agaricales; Cortinariaceae
Description: eukaryotic LSU rRNA
Rfam family: Eukaryotic large subunit ribosomal RNA
Source: RNAcentral
UGACCUCAAAUCAGGUAGGACUACCCGCUGAACUUAAGCAUAUCAAUAAGCGGAGGAAAAGAAACUAACAAGGAUUCCCCUAGUAACUGCGAGUGAAGCGGGAAAAGCUCAAAUUUAAAAUCUGGCGGUCUUUUGGCUGUCCGAGUUGUAAUCUAGAGAAGUGUUAUCCGCGCUGGACCGUGUACAAGUCUCCUGGAAUGGAGCAUCAUAGAGGGUGAGAAUCCCGUCUUUGACAUGGACUGCCAGGGCUUUUGUGAUGCGCUCUCAAAGAGUCGAGUUGUUUGGGAAUGCAGCUCAAAAUGGGUGGUAAAUUCCAUCUAAAGCUAAAUAUUGGCGAGAGACCGAUAGCGAACAAGUACCGUGAGGGAAAGAUGAAAAGAACUUUGGAAAGAGAGUUAAACAGUACGUGAAAUUGCUGAAAGGGAAACGCUUGAAGUCAGUCGCGUCAUCCAGGGAUCAACCUUGCUUUUGCUUGGUGCACUUUCUGGUUUGACGGGUCAGCAUCAAUUUUGACCGUUGGAAAAAGAUCAGGGGAAUGUGGCAUCUCUGGAUGUGUUUAUAGCCCUUGGUCACAUACAAUGGUUCGGGAUUGAGGAACUCAGCACGCCGCAAGGCCGGGUUUUUAACCACGUACGUGCUUAGGAUG